UGAGGAACAUGACCUUCGGCGGGGGAUAGCCGGCCCAACGGCCGGGUAAUACCGCGUACGACCACUUUGGGACAUCCCUCGGUGGUGAAAGCAGCAAUGCGCCGAUGGAGUGCCUCGCGGCCUAUCAGCUAGUUGGUGAGGUAACGGCUCACCAAGGCGACGACGGGUAGCUGGCCUGAGAGGAUGGCCAGCCACAUUGGGACUGAGACACGGCCCAGACUCCGUACGGGAGCAG
This 235-nucleotide ribosomal RNA is filed under the name uncultured bacterium. RNAcentral describes it as "partial 16S ribosomal RNA". It matches the Rfam family "Bacterial small subunit ribosomal RNA", at positions 118 to 347 of the family's 1533-position model. The record is from RNAcentral.